RNAcentral lists this ribosomal RNA (500 nucleotides) under uncultured bacterium. Its description in RNAcentral is "partial 16S ribosomal RNA". It matches the Rfam family "Bacterial small subunit ribosomal RNA", at positions 28 to 507 of the family's 1533-position model. The record is from RNAcentral.
GACGAACGCUGGCGGCGUGCUUAACACAUGCAAGUCGAACGGGUCUGCCCUGUUUUUUGCGGGGUGGGUCAGUGGCGACCGGGUGAGUAACACGUGAGUAACCUGCCCCUCACUUCUGGAUAACCGCUUGAAAGGGUGGCUAAUACGGGGUGUUCUGGCUGUGCCGCAUGGUGUGGCUGGGAAAGAUUCACUUUUGUGGUGUUUUGGUGGGGGAUGGGCUCGCGGCCUAUCAGCUUGUUGGUGGGGUGAUGGCCUGCCAAGGCUUUGACGGGUAGCCGGCCUGAGAGGGUGGGCGGUCACACUGGGACUGAGAUACGGCCCAGACUCCGGCGGGAGGCAGCAGUGGGGGGUAUUGCACAAUGGGCGGAAGCCUGAUGCAGCGACGUCGCGGGAGGGAUGGAGGCCUUCGGGUUGUGAACCUCUUUCGCCGGUGAAGAAGGUCCUGCUCUUUGUGGUGGGGUUGACGGUAGCCGGGUUAUGAAGCGCCGGCUAACUACGUG